RNAcentral lists this ribosomal RNA (773 nucleotides) under uncultured Neocallimastigales. RNAcentral's name for it is "partial large subunit ribosomal RNA". It matches the Rfam family "Eukaryotic large subunit ribosomal RNA", at positions 24 to 614 of the family's 3401-position model. Lineage: Eukaryota; Fungi; Neocallimastigomycota; Neocallimastigomycetes; Neocallimastigales. The record is from RNAcentral.
UAUCUCUGUAGAGUCUGCAUAUCAAUAAGCGGAGGAAAAGAAACUAACUAGGAUUCCCUCAGUAACGGCGAGUGAAGCGGGAAGAGCUCAAAUUUGAAAUCUUCAAGGUUCUACCUUGACGAAUUGUAGUUUAAAGAAGUGUUUUCUGUUGGAGUUUUGGUAAAAGUUCUUUGGAAUAGGACAUCAUAGAGGGUGAGAAUCCCGUAUUUGACCAUUAUUUCCAGCUUUGUGAUACACUUUCAAAGAGUCGGAUUGUUUGGGAAUGCAGUCCAAAAUGGGUGGUAAAUUUCAUCUAAAGCUAAAUAUUGGCGAGAGACCGAUAGCGAACAAGUACCGUGAGGGAAAGAUGAAAAGAACUUUGAAAGAGAGUUAAACAGUACGUGAAAUUGUCAAAAGGGAAGCGUUUGACACCAGUGUUGUUUUCUCGAAAAUCAAUUAAAAAAGGCAGGAUUUUGUGUUGUAUUGACUUUAUCAGCUUUCUGCACUCUUUUCUUGUCUUUUUUAAUGCACUUUUCGUUUAACAAGUCAACAUCAAUUUCUUUUGUUGUAAAAGGGUCAUUGGAAGGUGGCUUUCUUUUCGGAGAAAGUGUUUAUAGCCUUUGGCCUCUGCAAUCGGAGAGAUUGAGGUCUGCAGCGUAGAUCCUUCGGGGUUAGAUACAUUUGUGCUAAGUUAUAGCCUUUCAUAGACAACUUGUUGACUAUGAUCAGUCAUGUAGCUUACUCGCUUAUGCUAUUUUACCUACGCUUAGGAUGUUGAGUCAUCACACAUCUCU